NNNNNNNUGUAAAACUCAUCGUAGGAGGCUGCAGAAGAGAGGGGCGAGGGUGAGAGGAGCGGGGCGACGCAUGGGGGGCAAGGGGGGGGGGACGCCGCCGCUCACCCGCUUUGCAGAUGGGCGGCGAGCCGCUCCAGCGCGACGGGUGCCCCGGCAGGCAGCGCAGGCUGCCCUCGCCCAGCAGCACGUGGCCGGCGGCGCAGGAGAAGCGCAGCGCGGUCCCCGCCGGGUACAGCCGCCGCUCGGGGCUCUGCAGGCCGUUGGCGGGCGCGCCGGGGUUGUGGCAGGGCUCGUACGCCUCCGCUGCGGGCAGGAACGGGAGCCGGCGUCAGGGCCCGCCACCGGCCGCCCUCCCCGGCCCGAGGGGUGGGGACUCACGGAUGCACUUGGGGACGCGGUCGCUCCACUUGGGGCCCCCGGCGGCGCGGUCGUGGCAGGUGAGGAGCCCGGUGCCCGUCAGCACGUAGCCCUUGUCGCAGACGAACUGCACCGUGGCCCCCACCGGGAACUUGGCGCUGGAGACCACCCUGCGGCUGUGCUCCACGUCCCCGGGGUCCCUGCAGGACGUCACUGCGGGCGGGAGGCACAGCCGGUGACGCCAGCACCGGGGACACCCCCUGCAAGGCGCAGGCACCGCGCCGGGGCGCUCACCGCGCUCGCAUGCCGGCAGGUCACCGCUCCACGUCAGGUCCCAGUGGCACAUGAGGACGUCGGUGCCGGUGAGCUCGAAGCCGGGGUAGCAGUGGUAGGUCACCACGGUGCCGUGGAUGAGCUCAGGGUGCGAGGUCGUCUUCCAGCCGUUGGGGAUCUCGGGCAGCUCGGGGCACGUGUCGUUGCGGGGCACCUCUGCGGGCAGAGCGGGGUGAGCCAGGCGCUGCGCUGGCUGGGGGGGGACCGUGCGCCCACCACCACCACCGGUCUCACCGUAGAAGUGGAUGACGAAGCCCUGCUGGUAGCCAAAGACGCCRGUGCCGGGGUCAGACUGGAACUGGAUGGUGACGUCGGCCGUGGAGGCGUAGAGCUUGAAGUGGCCGCGGACGCCCGUGUACUGGCCCAGGAUGCGCGCCGUCAGGUCGUCCCCGUCGUAGAAGGUGAGCACGUCCCCCUUGCCCAUGCGCAGCCUGCCGCAGAGCCGGCCGUGAGGCCAGGGCGCCCGGGGAGCCCCCGGCACGGCCCGUCCCCGGCGCCCCGGCACACUCACACCCGGACG
Molecule: long non-coding RNA, 1210 nt
Filed under: Apteryx haastii (Great spotted kiwi)
Lineage: Eukaryota; Metazoa; Chordata; Aves; Apterygiformes; Apterygidae
Description: lncRNA (ENSAHAG00000014485.1)
Source: RNAcentral